This 449-nucleotide ribosomal RNA is filed under the name uncultured soil bacterium. RNAcentral's name for it is "bacterial SSU rRNA". It matches the Rfam family "Bacterial small subunit ribosomal RNA", at positions 26 to 488 of the family's 1533-position model. The record is from RNAcentral.
AGGAUGAACGCUGGCGGCGUGCUUAACACAUGCAAGUCGAACGGUGAAGCCCAGCUUGCUGGGUGGAUCAGUGGCGAACGGGUGAGUAACACGUGAGCAACCUGCCCCUGACUCUGGGAUAAGCGCUGGAAACGGUGUCUAAUACUGGAUACGAACAGUGACCGCAUGGUCAGUUGUUGGAAAGAUUUAUUGGUUGGGGAUGGGCUCGCGGCCUAUCAGCUUGUUGGUGAGGUAAUGGCUCACCAAGGCGUCGACGGGUAGCCGGCCUGAGAGGGUGACCGGCCACGACUGGGACUGAGACACGGCCCAGACUCCUACGGGAGGCAGCAGUGGGGAAUAUGCACAAUGGGCGCAAGCCGUGAUGCAGCAACGCCGCGUGAGGAUGACGGCCUUCGGUUGUAAACCUUCGUUUAGCAAGGAAGAGCGAGAGUGACGGUACUGACAAGAAA